This 492-nucleotide ribosomal RNA is filed under the name uncultured bacterium. RNAcentral describes it as "partial 16S ribosomal RNA". It matches the Rfam family "Bacterial small subunit ribosomal RNA", at positions 28 to 507 of the family's 1533-position model. The record is from RNAcentral.
GAUGAACGCUAGCUACAGGCUUAACACAUGCAAGUCGAGGGGAAACGGCAUCGAAAGCUUGCUUUUGAUGGGCGUCGACCGGCGCACGGGUGAGUAACGCGUAUCCAACCUGCCCAUCACUUGGGAAUAACCUUGCGAAAGUAAGACUAAUGCCCAAUGACAUCCCACGAAGGCAUCCGAAUGGGAUUAAAGAUUUAUCGGUGAUGGAUGGGGAUGCGUCUGAUUAGCUUGUUGGCGGGGUGACGGCCCACCAAGGCAACGAUCAGUAGGGGUUCUGAGAGGAAGGUCCCCCACAGUGGAACUGAGACACGGUCCAAACUCCUACGGGAGGCAGCAGUAAGGGAUAUUGGUGAAUGGGCGAGAGCCUGAACCAGCCAAGUAGCGUGCAGGAUGACGGCCCUAUGGGUUGUAAACUGCUUUUAUAAGGGAAUAAAGUGGGUCACGUGUGACUUUUUGCAUGUACCUUAUGAAUAAGGACCGGCUAAUUCCGUG